GAAAGAGGUUUACAACCCGAAGGCCGUCAUCCCCCACGCGGCGUCGCUGCAUCAGGCUUGCGCCCAUUGUGCAAUAUUCCCCACUGCUGCCUCCCGUAGGAGUCUGGGCCGUAUCUCAGUCCCAGUGUGGCCGGACACCCUCUCAGGCCGGCUACCCGUCGUCGCCUUGGUAGGCCAUCACCCCACCAACAAGCUGAUAGGCCGCGGGCCCAUCCCACACCGCAAAAGCUUUCCACCUCGGGACAUGCGUCUCGAGGUCCUAUCC
RNAcentral lists this ribosomal RNA (265 nucleotides) under uncultured Mycobacterium sp. RNAcentral describes it as "partial 16S ribosomal RNA". Lineage: Bacteria; Bacillati; Actinomycetota; Actinomycetes; Mycobacteriales; Mycobacteriaceae. The record is from RNAcentral.